RNAcentral lists this ribosomal RNA (1332 nucleotides) under uncultured Pelagibacterales bacterium. Its description in RNAcentral is "bacterial SSU rRNA". It matches the Rfam family "Bacterial small subunit ribosomal RNA". The record is from RNAcentral. Lineage: Bacteria; Pseudomonadati; Pseudomonadota; Alphaproteobacteria; Candidatus Pelagibacterales.
UAACACAUGCAAGUCGAACGAAGUAGCAAUACUUAGUGGCAGACGGGUGAGUAACAUGUAGGUAUCUGCCCUUUGGCCUGGAAUAACACGAGGAAACUUGUGCUAAUACCGGAUAAGUCUUUACGGAGAAAGCUUUAUGCACCAUUGGAUGAGCCUGCACUUGAUUAGUUUGUUGGUGGGGUAAUGGCCUACCAAGACUAUGAUCAAUAGCUGAUUUGAGAGGAUGAUCAGCCACAUUGGGACUGAGACACGGCCCAAACUCCUACGGGAGGCAGCAGUGGGGAAUCUUGCACAAUGGAGGAAACUCUGAUGCAGCGAUGCCGCGUGAGUGAAGAAGGCCCUUGGGUUGUAAAGCUCUUUCGUCGGGGAAGAAAAUGACUGUACCCGAAUAAGAAGGUCCGGCUAACUUCGUGCCAGCAGCCGCGGUAAUACGAAGGGACCUAGCGUAGUUCGGAAUUACUGGGCUUAAAGAGUUCGUAGGUGGUUGAAAAAGUUAGUGGUGAAAUCCCAGAGCUUAACUCUGGAACUGCCAUUAAAACUUUUCAGCUAGAGUAUGAUAGAGGAAAGCAGAAUUUCUAGUGUAGAGGUGAAAUUCGUAGAUAUUAGAAAGAAUACCAAUUGCGAAGGCAGCUUUCUGGAUCAUUACUGACACUGAGGAACGAAAGCAUGGGUAGCGAAGAGGAUUAGAUACCCUCGUAGUCCAUGCCGUAAACGAUGUGUGUUAGACGUUGGAAAUUUAUUUUCAGUGUCGCAGCGAAAGCGAUAAACACACCGCCUGGGGAGUACGACCGCAAGGUUAAAACUCAAAUGAAUUGACGGGGACCCGCACAAGUAGUGGAGCAUGUGGUUUAAUUCGAAGAUACGCGCAGAACCUUACCAACACUUGACAUGUUCGUCGCGACUCUAAGAGAUUAGAGUUUUCGGUUCGGCCGGACGAAACACAGGUGCUGCAUGGCUGUCGUCAGCUCGUGUCGUGAGAUGUUGGGUUAAGUCCCGCAACGAGCGCAACCCUCACUUUUAGUUGCCAUCAUUAAGUUGGGCACUCUGAAAGAACUGCCAGUGAUAAGCUGGGGGAAGGUGGGGAUGACGUCAAGUCCUCAUGGCCCUUACGUGUUGGGCUACACACGUGCUACAAUGGUAUCUACAACAGGAAGCAAGACUGCGAAGUUAAGCAAAUCCCUAAAAGAUACCUCAGUUCGGAUUGCACUCUGCAACUCGAGUGCAUGAAGCUGGAAUUACUAGUAAUCGUGGAUCAGCGUGCCACGGUGAAUGCGUUCCCGGGUCUUGUACACACCGCCCGUCACACCAUGGGAGUUGGUUCUACCUUAAGGC